Molecule: ribosomal RNA, 429 nt
Filed under: uncultured bacterium
Lineage: Bacteria
Description: bacterial SSU rRNA
Rfam family: Bacterial small subunit ribosomal RNA
Source: RNAcentral
GUGGGGAAUCUUGCGCAAUGGGCGAAAGCCUGACGCAGCGACGCCGCGUGAGUGAUGAAGGCCUUAGGGUUGUAAAGCUCUGUGGAGUGGGACGAAUAAGCCACGGUUAAUAGCUGUGGUGAUGACGGUACCUCUUUAGCAAGCACCGGCUAACUCUGUGCCAGCAGCCGCGGUAAGACAGAGGGUGCAAACGUUGUUCGGAAUUACUGGGCGUAAAGCGCGUGUAGGCUGUCGUGCAAGUCGGAUGUGAAAGCCCAGGGCUCAACCCUGGAAGUGCACUCGAAACUGCAAGACUUGAAUCUCGGAGAGGGUGGCGGAAUUCUGGGUGUAGAGGUGAAAUUCGUAGAUAUCCAGAGGAACACCGGUGGCGAAGGCGGCCACCUGGACGAGUAUUGACGCUGAGACGCGAAAGCGUGGGGAGCAAACAGG